This 1346-nucleotide ribosomal RNA is filed under the name metagenome. RNAcentral describes it as "bacterial LSU rRNA". It matches the Rfam family "Bacterial large subunit ribosomal RNA", at positions 1564 to 2925 of the family's 2925-position model. The record is from RNAcentral.
UGAGUACGAGCGGCUACGGCCGCGAAGUGGAUGAUGUCAAGCUUCCAAGAAAAGCCCUAUACCCGUUAAGGCAUGAUGGCCUGUACCCGAAACCGACACAGGUGGGGUCGUAGAGAAUACCGAGGGGCGCGAGGUAACUCUCUCUAAGGAACUCGGCAAAAUGGCCCCGUAACUUCGGGAGAAGGGGUGCCACCGCGAGGUGGUCGCAGUGAAGAGGCCCAGGCGACUGUUUACCAAAAACACAGGUCUCCGCUAAGUCGCAAGACGAUGUAUGGGGGCUGACGCCUGCCCAGUGCCGGAAGGUUAAGGAAGCUGGUCAGCGCAAGCGAAGCUGGCGACUGAAGCCCCGGUGAACGGCGGCCGUAACGAUAACGGUCCUAAGGUAGCGAAAUUCCUUGUCGGGUAAGUUCCGACCCGCACGAAAGGCGUAACGAUCUGGGCGCUGUCUCGGAGAGAGGCUCGGCGAAAUAGAAUUGUCUGUGAAGAUGCGGACUACGUGCACCCGGACAGAAAGACCCUAUGAAGCUUUACUGUAGCUUGGUGUUGUGCUCGGGCUCGGAAUGCGCAGGAUAGGUGGGAGGCUUUGAUCCAUUGCUUGCGGGUGAUGGUGAGCCACUGGUGAGAUACCACUCUUUCCGAGCUAGAGUUCUAACAGCAACCCGUUAUCCGGGUGCUGGACAGUAUCAGGUGGGCAGUUUGACUGGGGCGGUCGCCUCCUAAAAGGUAACGGAGGCGCGCAAAGGUCUGCUCAGGCUGGUUGGAAAUCAGCCGACGAGUGUAAAAGCAGAAGCAGGCUUGACUGUGAGACCUACAAGUCGAACAGGGAGGAAACUCGGCUUUAGUGAUCCGACGGUUCUGCGUGGAAGGGCCGUCGCUCAACGGAUAAAAGUUACUCUAGGAUAACAGGCUGAUCUCCCCCAAGAGUUCACAUCGACGGGGAGGUUUGGCACCUCGAUGUCGGCUCAUCGCAACCUGGGGCUGAAGUCGGUCCCAAGGGUUGGGCUGUUCGCCCAUUAAAGCGGUACGCGAGCUGGGUUCAACGUCGUGAGACAGUUCGGUCCAUAUCCGGUGCACGCGCAGGAAUAUUGAGAGGAUUUCUCCCUAGUACGAGAGGACCGGGAGGAACGCACCUCUGGUGUGCCAGUUAUCGUGCCAACGGUAAACGCUGGGUAGCCAUGUGCGGAGUGGACAACCGCUGAAAGCAUCUAAGUGGGAAGCCCACCUCAAGAUGAGUAUUCCCAUGGCAUAAGCCAGUAAGGUCACGGGAAGAACACCCGUUGAUAGGCUCUACGUGGAAGCGCAGUAAUGUGUGAAGCGGAGGAGUACUAAUAGACCGAGGGCUUGAC